Molecule: long non-coding RNA, 263 nt
Organism: Saccostrea cuccullata (small rock oyster)
Lineage: Eukaryota; Metazoa; Mollusca; Bivalvia; Ostreida; Ostreidae
Exons: 6
Source: RefSeq, a predicted model, not a curated record
AGAAUUAUGGAGAGAGAUUUACCAUUUAAAGCGAGGAAAUGAAGAUCUGAAAGGGGAACUGUGCAGGCGACAAACAGAUUGGGAAGUGUCACAGCAAAAUAAAAUGAUGCAUCAACUAAACACGAAAUACGGAGGUCUGCAAGACGAUUUGAUGAAAAAACAAAAACAUUACGAAGAGUCGCAUCAAAAUGAAAUGAUCGAACUAAAAGGGAAAAUCUGCGAUAUAGCGACAGUGGUUAAAACACUGGAAACGGCAAGACAAG